UCUGCAACUCGACUCCAUGAAGCUGGAUUCGCUAGUAAUCGCGCAUCAGCCAUGGCGCGGUGAAUACGUUCCCGGGCCUUGUACACACCGCCCGUCAAGCCAUGGAAGCCGGGAGUGCCUGAAGUGUGCAACCGCAAGGAGCGCCCUAAGGUAAAACUGGUGACUGGGGCUAAGUCGUAACAAGGUACC
This 189-nucleotide ribosomal RNA is filed under the name uncultured bacterium. RNAcentral's name for it is "partial 16S ribosomal RNA". It matches the Rfam family "Bacterial small subunit ribosomal RNA", at positions 1304 to 1500 of the family's 1533-position model. The record is from RNAcentral.